RNAcentral lists this ribosomal RNA (274 nucleotides) under uncultured Lachnospiraceae bacterium. RNAcentral describes it as "partial 16S ribosomal RNA". It matches the Rfam family "Bacterial small subunit ribosomal RNA", at positions 68 to 339 of the family's 1533-position model. Lineage: Bacteria; Bacillati; Bacillota; Clostridia; Lachnospirales; Lachnospiraceae. The record is from RNAcentral.
AAGUUUUCGGAUGGAAUCCAAAUUGACUGAGUGGCGGACGGGUGAGUAACGCGUGGGUAACCUGCCUCACACUGGGGGACAACAGCUGGAAACGGCUGCUAAUACCGCAUAAGCGCACAGCUUCGCAUGAAGCAGUGUGAAAAACUCCGGUGGUGUGAGAUGGACCCGCGUCUGAUUAGCUAGUUGGUAAGGUAACGGCUUACCAAGGCGACGAUCAGUAGCCGACCUGAGAGGGUGACCGGCCACAUUGGGACUGAGACACGGCCCAAACUCC